RNAcentral lists this ribosomal RNA (176 nucleotides) under uncultured Nitrospira sp. RNAcentral's name for it is "partial 16S ribosomal RNA". It matches the Rfam family "Bacterial small subunit ribosomal RNA", at positions 342 to 520 of the family's 1533-position model. Lineage: Bacteria; Pseudomonadati; Nitrospirota; Nitrospiria; Nitrospirales; Nitrospiraceae. The record is from RNAcentral.
GGGGAGGCAGCAGUAAGGAAUAUUGCGCAAUGGGCGAAAGCCUGACGCAGCGACGCCGCGUGGGGGAUGAAGGUCUUCGGAUUGUAAACCCCUCUCGGCAGGGAAGAUGGAACGGGUAACCGUUCGGACGGUACCUGCAGAAGCAGCCACGGCUAACUUCGUGCCAGCAGCCGCGG